This 231-nucleotide unclassified non-coding RNA is filed under the name root metagenome. Its description in RNAcentral is "partial contains small subunit ribosomal RNA, internal transcribed spacer 1, and 5.8S ribosomal RNA". The record is from RNAcentral.
UUUCCGUAGGUGAACCUGCGGAAGGAUCAUUGAAUCUAUCAAUACCAACCAUGUGAACCAAAACUGUCCGGAGUUGGUGCAAGGGAUUGUGCCGGAAACGGCUGCCUUUGCCCUCUCCCUCCAUUUAACCAACCACUCCAAACACAUUGUCUAAAGAAUUGAUGCAGCGGCUUGCUAGGCAAGUGCGCGCUCAACCAAAGACAACUCUCAACAACGGAUAUCUUGGCUCUC